GGUCGCGUAGCUCAGUCGGUUAGAGCGUCACACUAAUAAUGUGAAGGUCGCGAGUUCGACCCUCGUCGUGACCA
RNAcentral lists this transfer RNA (74 nucleotides) under Monascus purpureus. It matches the Rfam family "tRNA". From Rfam's summary of the family: Transfer RNA (tRNA) molecules are approximately 80 nucleotides in length. Their secondary structure includes four short double-helical elements and three loops (D, anti-codon, and T loops). Further hydrogen bonds mediate the characteristic L-shaped molecular structure. tRNAs have two regions of fundamental functional importance: the anti-codon, which is responsible for specific mRNA codon recognition, and the 3' end, to which the tRNAs corresponding amino acid is attached (by aminoacyl-tRNA synthetases). tRNAs cope with the degeneracy of the genetic code in two manners: having more than one tRNA (with a specific anti-codon) for a particular amino acid; and 'wobble' base-pairing, i.e. permitting non-standard base-pairing at the 3rd anti-codon position. The record is from Rfam by way of RNAcentral. Lineage: Eukaryota; Fungi; Ascomycota; Eurotiomycetes; Eurotiales; Aspergillaceae.